GCCGCCUUAGCUCAGUGGCAGAGCACUGGUCUCGUAAACCAGGGGUCGUGAGUUCAAAUCUCACAGGCGGCA
Molecule: transfer RNA, 72 nt
Filed under: Pollicipes pollicipes
Lineage: Eukaryota; Metazoa; Arthropoda; Thecostraca; Pollicipedomorpha; Pollicipedidae
Description: tRNA-Thr
Rfam family: tRNA
About the family: Transfer RNA (tRNA) molecules are approximately 80 nucleotides in length. Their secondary structure includes four short double-helical elements and three loops (D, anti-codon, and T loops). Further hydrogen bonds mediate the characteristic L-shaped molecular structure. tRNAs have two regions of fundamental functional importance: the anti-codon, which is responsible for specific mRNA codon recognition, and the 3' end, to which the tRNAs corresponding amino acid is attached (by aminoacyl-tRNA synthetases). tRNAs cope with the degeneracy of the genetic code in two manners: having more than one tRNA (with a specific anti-codon) for a particular amino acid; and 'wobble' base-pairing, i.e. permitting non-standard base-pairing at the 3rd anti-codon position.
Source: RNAcentral